GGGUGCGAUCAUACCAACAUUAAUGCACUAGAUCCCAUCAAAACUUCAUAGUUAGGCGCGCUUGAUCUAGAGUGGUACUGGGAUGGGUGACCUCCCAAUAAUUGCUAGUGUUGCACCCU
Non-coding RNA from Picea glauca (white spruce), 119 nucleotides. The record is from Rfam. NCBI's taxonomy places the organism in Eukaryota, Viridiplantae, Streptophyta, Pinopsida, Pinales, Pinaceae.